GAUGAACGCUGACAGAAUGCUUAACACAUGCAAGUCGAUGGGGAAGUGGUGCUUUCCCCCUGGCAACCAUGGCGGACGGGUGAGUAACGCCUAAGGGACUUCCCUGCAGGACUGGGAUAACUGGGGGAAACUCCUCACAAAACCCGAUAAUGUCAUGGAGCUGCAUGGCUUUAUGAUGAAAGGAGACGCCUGCGGAGAGCCUUGCGUCCUAUUAGCUAGUUGGUGAGGUAAUGGCUCACCAAGGCGAAGAUAGGUAGCCGGCCUGAGAGGUGGGACGGCCACGAGGGGACUGAGAUACGGCCCUUACGACUACGGGAGGCAGCAGUGGGGAAUAUUGGACAAUGGGGGCAACCCUGAUCCAGCAAUUCUGUGUGCACGAAGAAGGUUUUCGGAGUGUAAAGUGCUUUCAGCAGGGAAGAAGUAAGUGACGGUACCUGCAGAAGAAGCGACGGCUAAAUACGUG
RNAcentral lists this ribosomal RNA (463 nucleotides) under uncultured bacterium. RNAcentral describes it as "partial 16S ribosomal RNA". It matches the Rfam family "Bacterial small subunit ribosomal RNA", at positions 28 to 507 of the family's 1533-position model. The record is from RNAcentral.